Molecule: long non-coding RNA, 208 nt
Organism: Carassius carassius (crucian carp)
Lineage: Eukaryota; Metazoa; Chordata; Actinopteri; Cypriniformes; Cyprinidae
Exons: 2
Source: RefSeq, a predicted model, not a curated record
GAUAACCAUGGUUGAUAAAUGGUCAGUAGAUGACAUGUGCCACUGGCUUCAAACUAUAAACCUCAUUGAUGCAAAAGAAAGUUUCAGAGAUCCUGCAUGAAAUGACAAUGAGGUUUGGAACAGACUUGGCGAAGAACAUGGAAACAUCUCUGAAUGAAAUGGCCCCAGACAUCAUCAGGAGUGCAAAAGAAGGAAGUCAAAAAAAACC